Molecule: ribosomal RNA, 465 nt
Filed under: Vreelandella stevensii
Lineage: Bacteria; Pseudomonadati; Pseudomonadota; Gammaproteobacteria; Oceanospirillales; Halomonadaceae
Description: partial 16S ribosomal RNA
Rfam family: Bacterial small subunit ribosomal RNA
Source: RNAcentral
CCUACGGGUGGCAGCAGUGGGGAAUAUUGGACAAUGGGGGGAACCCUGAUCCAGCCAUGCCGCGUGUGUGAAGAAGGCCCUCGGGUUGUAAAGCACUUUCAGUGAGGAAGAACGCCUGGUGGUUAAUACCCAUCAGGAAAGACAUCACUCACAGAAGAAGCACCGGCUAACUCCGUGCCAGCAGCCGCGGUAAUACGGAGGGGGCGAGCGUUAAUCGGAAUUACUGGGCGUAAAGCGCGCGUAGGUGGCUUGAUAAGCCGGUUGUGAAAGCCCCGGGCUCAACCUGGGAACGGCAUCCGGAACUGUCAAGCUAGAGUGCAGGAGAGGAAGGUAGAAUUCCCGGUGUAGCGGUGAAAUGCGUAGAGAUCGGGAGGAAUACCAGUGGCGAAGGCGGCCUUCUGGACUGAAACUGACACUGAGGUGCGAAAGCGUGGGUAGCAAACAGGAUUAGAUACCCGGGUAGUC